This 494-nucleotide ribosomal RNA is filed under the name uncultured bacterium. RNAcentral describes it as "partial 16S ribosomal RNA". It matches the Rfam family "Bacterial small subunit ribosomal RNA", at positions 28 to 522 of the family's 1533-position model. The record is from RNAcentral.
GAUGAACGCUAGCGGGAGGCCUAACACAUGCAAGCCGAGCGGUAUUUGUCUUUCGGGACAGAGAGAGCGGCGUACGGGUGCGGAACACGUGUGCAACCUGCCUUUAUCAAGAGGAUAGCCUUUCGAAAGGAAGAUUAAUACUCUAUAAUAUAUUGAUUGGCAUCAGUUAAUAUUGAAAGUUACGGCGGAUAAAGAUGGGCACGCGCAAGAUUAGCUAGUUGGUGAGGUAACGGCUCACCAAGGCGAUGAUCUUUAGGGGGCCUGAGAGGGUGAUCCCCCACACUGGUACUGAGACACGGACCAGACUCCUACGGGAGGCAGCAGUGAGGAAUAUUGGUCAAUGGGUGCAAGCCUGAACCAGCCAUCCCGCGUGAAGGACGACUGCCCUAUGGGUUGUAAACUUCUUUUGUAUAGGGAUAAACCUCUCCUCGUGAGGAGAGCUGAAGGUACUAUACGAAUAAGCACCGGCUAACUCCGUGCCAGCCGCCGCCGUA